GAGUAAAAUUUUCAUCUUUUUAUAUUAUUAAAAAUUAGUAUGGUUAAUGAAAUAAUCAGAUAGUACACGUGACAUGUCACAUGUACCUCAUGCUAAUGUACAGAGACCAAUUUUUAACAGUAGAAACAAAUGAAAUUUUUAAUA
Non-coding RNA from Gossypium raimondii (Peruvian cotton), 144 nucleotides. The record is from Rfam. Lineage: Eukaryota; Viridiplantae; Streptophyta; Magnoliopsida; Malvales; Malvaceae.